CCUACGGGUGGCAGCAGUGAGGAAUAUUGGUCAAUGGACGAGAGUCUGAACCAGCCAAGUAGCGUGAAGGAUGACUGCCCUAUGGGUUGUAAACUUCUUUUAUAUGGGAAUAAAACGUUCCACGUGUGGGAUUUUGUAUGUACCAUAUGAAUAAGGAUCGGCUAACUCCGUGCCAGCAGCCGCGGUAAUACGGAGGAACCGAGCGUUAUCCGGAUUUAUUGGGUUUAAAGGGAGCGUAGGUGGAUUGUUAAGUCAGUUGUGAAAGUUUGCGGCUCAACCGUAAAAUUGCAGUUGAAACUGGCAGUCUUGAGUACAGUAGAGGUGGGCGGAAUGCGUGGUGUAGCGGUGAAAUGCUUAGAUAUCACGAAGAACUCCGAUUGCGAAGGCAGUUCACUGGACUGCAACUGACACUGAGGCUCGAAAGUGUGGGUAUCAAACAGGAUUAGAUACCCUUGUAGUC
This 460-nucleotide ribosomal RNA is filed under the name uncultured bacterium. RNAcentral's name for it is "partial 16S ribosomal RNA". It matches the Rfam family "Bacterial small subunit ribosomal RNA", at positions 338 to 795 of the family's 1533-position model. The record is from RNAcentral.